GCGGGGGAGGGGGGUGGUGUCGUUCUGUUCGUUAAUGCUGUCUGUGCGUUUCGUUCGGCACUCAGGGUGCGGCGUUGGAUGUUGGAUGGAUGGGGUAUCCGGUAUUUGUGGGAUAUGGCGUGGCGUUGGCUUGAGUUUUUUUUUUUUUUGUCUUGUGUAGGGUAGGAGUAGGAUGGACUAGUAACUGUAUUGUCCUAUGUCUGCUACGAGUUUUGCAAAAGAGUCAUAAAAACCGUACAUGUGGGCAAUCAAUCAAUAUACCCAAUAUUCACACAAUAGCUUACACAAAGACCCCA
This 296-nucleotide small RNA is filed under the name Histoplasma capsulatum. RNAcentral's name for it is "hypothetical RNA". Lineage: Eukaryota; Fungi; Ascomycota; Eurotiomycetes; Onygenales; Ajellomycetaceae. The record is from RNAcentral.